GAACAAGAGUCUCUCCCUGGCAAUCCAGAAAAUUCUUCUGGAUCUUAUUUAAGACCACCAAGGUGAUACCUCUACAUGUCUGCAUGAACCACAGAAUUAGGGGCUUGGAGUGUUCCCUAAUGAGGUACGGCUUAGACCACAACACUCAAGUCCCUUCGUAUGCCUAGAAAGCCUUUGCAAGAAGGAUGAGUACAAAUAAACCCAGACUGCAAGGACUACAAUGAAUACGUAAUUCGUCAAUGCCCAUAUACCGAUGAACAUCCAGAAGCAUCAAGACCAUUCAGGAAAACAU
Molecule: long non-coding RNA, 292 nt
Filed under: Homo sapiens (human)
Lineage: Eukaryota; Metazoa; Chordata; Mammalia; Primates; Hominidae
Description: HSALNT0067637
Source: RNAcentral